GAUUAACGCUGGCGGCGUGCAUAACACAUGCAAGUCGAACGAUGAAACUUAAAUGAUUUCUUCGUAAUGAACUUAAGUGGAGUAUUGGCGGACGGUUGAGUAACGCGUGAGUAACCUGCCUUACACAAGGGGAUAGCCGUCUGAAACGACGAAUAAUACUCUAUGAAACUAUCACUUCGCAUGAAGCGAUAUUCAAAGUGUUAGCGGUGUAAGAUGGACUUCCGUCUGAUUAGCUAGAUGGAGAGAAAAAAGCCCACCAAGGCAACGAUCAGUAGCCGGCUUUAGAGAGUGUACGGCAACAUUGGGACUGAGGCACGGCCCAGACUCCUACGGGAGGCAGCAGUGGGGAAUUUUGCACAAUGGGGGAAACCCUGAUGCAGCGACGCCGCGAGAUUUAGAAGGUCUUCGGGUUGUAAAGAUCUUUUGUAUAGGCAGAAAAUGACAGUACUAUACGAAUAAGGCCCGGCUAAUUACGUG
This 477-nucleotide ribosomal RNA is filed under the name uncultured bacterium. RNAcentral describes it as "partial 16S ribosomal RNA". It matches the Rfam family "Bacterial small subunit ribosomal RNA", at positions 28 to 507 of the family's 1533-position model. The record is from RNAcentral.